UACGGAGGGUGCAAGCGUUGCUCGGAUUUACUGGGCGUAAAGAGCUAGUAGGCGGUUUGGUAAGUCUGAUGUGAAAGCCCUGGACUCAAUCCAGGAAGUGCAUUGGAUACUGCUAGACUAGAGUGCAGGAGAGGUGAGCGGAAUUCCAGGUGUAGAGGUGAAAUUCGUAGAUAUCUGGAGGAACAACGGAGGUGAAGGCGGCUCACUGGACUGAUACUGACGCUGAGGAGCGAAAGUGUGGGUAGCGAACAGG
This 253-nucleotide ribosomal RNA is filed under the name uncultured bacterium. Its description in RNAcentral is "partial 16S ribosomal RNA". It matches the Rfam family "Bacterial small subunit ribosomal RNA", at positions 524 to 776 of the family's 1533-position model. The record is from RNAcentral.